GGGUUGUGAGGUUAAGCGACUAAGCGUACACGGUGGAUGCCCUGGCAGUCAGAGGCGAUGAAGGACGUGCUAAUCUGCGAUAAGCGUCGGUAAGGUGAUAUGAACCGUUAUAACCGGCGAUUUCCGAAUGGGGAAACCCAGUGUGAUUCGUCACACUAUCAUUAACUGAAUCCAUAGGUUAAUGAGGCGAACCGGGGGAACUGAAACAUCUAAGUACCCCGAGGAAAAGAAAUCAACCGAGAUUCCCCCAGUAGCGGCGAGCGAACGGGGAGCAGCCCAGAGCCUGAAUCAGUGUGUGUGUUAGUGGAAGCGUCUGGAAAGGCGCGCGAUACAGGGUGACAGCCCCGUACACAAAAAUGCACAUGCUGUGAGCUCGAUGAGUAGGGCGGGACACGUGGUAUCCUGUCUGAAUAUGGGGGGACCAUCCUCCAAGGCUAAAUACUCCUGACUGACCGAUAGUGAACCAGUACCGUGAGGGAAAGGCGAAAAGAACCCCGGCGAGGGGAGUGAAAAAGAACCUGAAACCGUGUACGUACAAGCAGUGGGAGCACGCUUAGGCGUGUGACUGCGUACCUUUUGUAUAAUGGGUCAGCGACUUAUAUUCUGUAGCAAGGUUAACCGAAUAGGGGAGCCGAAGGGAAACCGAGUCUUAACUGGGCGUUAAGUUGCAGGGUAUAGACCCGAAACCCGGUGAUCUAGCCAUGGGCAGGUUGAAGGUUGGGUAACACUAACUGGAGGACCGAACCGACUAAUGUUGAAAAAUUAGCGGAUGACUUGUGGCUGGGGGUGAAAGGCCAAUCAAACCGGGAGAUAGCUGGUUCUCCCCGAAAGCUAUUUAGGUAGCGCCUCGUGAAUUCAUCUCCGGGGGUAGAGCACUGUUUCGGCAAGGGGGUCAUCCCGACUUACCAACCCGAUGCAAACUGCGAAUACCGGAGAAUGUUAUCACGGGAGACACACGGCGGGUGCUAACGUCCGUCGUGAAGAGGGAAACAACCCAGACCGCCAGCUAAGGUCCCAAAGUCAUGGUUAAGUGGGAAACGAUGUGGGAAGGCCCAGACAGCCAGGAUGUUGGCUUAGAAGCAGCCAUCAUUUAAAGAAAGCGUAAUAGCUCACUGGUCGAGUCGGCCUGCGCGGAAGAUGUAACGGGGCUAAACCAUGCACCGAAGCUGCGGCAGCGACGCUUAUGCGUUGUUGGGUAGGGGAGCGUUCUGUAAGCCUGUGAAGGUGUACUGUGAGGUAUGCUGGAGGUAUCAGAAGUGCGAAUGCUGACAUAAGUAACGAUAAAGCGGGUGAAAAGCCCGCUCGCCGGAAGACCAAGGGUUCCUGUCCAACGUUAAUCGGGGCAGGGUGAGUCGACCCCUAAGGCGAGGCCGAAAGGCGUAGUCGAUGGGAAACAGGUUAAUAUUCCUGUACUUGGUGUUACUGCGAAGGGGGGACGGAGAAGGCUAUGUUGGCCGGGCGACGGUUGUCCCGGUUUAAGCGUGUAGGCUGGUUUUCCAGGCAAAUCCGGAAAAUCAAGGCUGAGGCGUGAUGACGAGGCACUACGGUGCUGAAGCAACAAAUGCCCUGCUUCCAGGAAAAGCCUCUAAGCAUCAGGUAACAUCAAAUCGUACCCCAAACCGACACAGGUGGUCAGGUAGAGAAUACCAAGGCGCUUGAGAGAACUCGGGUGAAGGAACUAGGCAAAAUGGUGCCGUAACUUCGGGAGAAGGCACGCUGAUAUGUAGGUGAAGUCCCUCGCGGAUGGAGCUGAAAUCAGUCGAAGAUACCAGCUGGCUGCAACUGUUUAUUAAAAACACAGCACUGUGCAAACACGAAAGUGGACGUAUACGGUGUGACGCCUGCCCGGUGCCGGAAGGUUAAUUGAUGGGGUCAGCGCAAGCGAAGCUCUUGAUCGAAGCCCCGGUAAACGGCGGCCGUAACUAUAACGGUCCUAAGGUAGCGAAAUUCCUUGUCGGGUAAGUUCCGACCUGCACGAAUGGCGUAAUGAUGGCCAGGCUGUCUCCACCCGAGACUCAGUGAAAUUGAACUCGCUGUGAAGAUGCAGUGUACCCGCGGCAAGACGGAAAGACCCCGUGAACCUUUACUAUAGCUUGACACUGAACAUUGAGCCUUGAUGUGUAGGAUAGGUGGGAGGCUUUGAAGUGUGGACGCCAGUCUGCAUGGAGCCGACCUUGAAAUACCACCCUUUAAUGUUUGAUGUUCUAACGUUGACCCGUAAUCCGGGUUGCGGACAGUGUCUGGUGGGUAGUUUGACUGGGGCGGUCUCCUCCUAAAGAGUAACGGAGGAGCACGAAGGUUGGCUAAUCCUGGUCGGACAUCAGGAGGUUAGUGCAAUGGCAUAAGCCAGCUUGACUGCGAGCGUGACGGCGCGAGCAGGUGCGAAAGCAGGUCAUAGUGAUCCGGUGGUUCUGAAUGGAAGGGCCAUCGCUCAACGGAUAAAAGGUACUCCGGGGAUAACAGGCUGAUACCGCCCAAGAGUUCAUAUCGACGGCGGUGUUUGGCACCUCGAUGUCGGCUCAUCACAUCCUGGGGCUGAAGUAGGUCCCAAGGGUAUGGCUGUUCGCCAUUUAAAGUGGUACGCGAGCUGGGUUUAGAACGUCGUGAGACAGUUCGGUCCCUAUCUGCCGUGGGCGCUGGAGAACUGAGGGGGGCUGCUCCUAGUACGAGAGGACCGGAGUGGACGCAUCACUGGUGUUCGGGUUGUCAUGCCAAUGGCACUGCCCGGUAGCUAAAUGCGGAAGAGAUAAGUGCUGAAAGCAUCUAAGCACGAAACUUGCCCCGAGAUGAGUUCUCCCUGACUCCUUGAGAGUCCUGAAGGAACGUUGAAGACGACGACGUUGAUAGGCCGGGUGUGUAAGCGCAGCGAUGCGUUGAGCUAACCGGUACUAAUGAACCGUGAGGCUUAACCUUACAACGCCGAAGGUGUUU
RNAcentral lists this ribosomal RNA (2931 nucleotides) under Escherichia coli. RNAcentral describes it as "bacterial LSU rRNA". It matches the Rfam family "Bacterial large subunit ribosomal RNA". Lineage: Bacteria; Pseudomonadati; Pseudomonadota; Gammaproteobacteria; Enterobacterales; Enterobacteriaceae. The record is from RNAcentral.